AUUGAACGCUGGCGGCAUGCCUAACACAUGCAAGUCGAACGGCAGCACGGCAGUAGCAAUACUGUGGGUGGCGAGUGGCGGACGGGUGAGGAAUACGUCGGAAUCUGCCCAGUCGUGGGGGAUAACUAGCCGAAAGGUUAGCUAAUACCGCAUACGACCGAGAGGUGAAAGCGGGGGACCGCAAGGCCUCGCGCGAUUGGAUGAGCCGACGUCGGAUUAGCUAGUUGGUGGGGUAAAGGCCCACCAAGGCGACGAUCCGUAGCUGGUCUGAGAGGAUGAUCAGCCACACUGGAACUGAGACACGGUCCAGACUCCUACGGGAGGCAGCAGUGGGGAAUAUUGGACAAUGGGCGCAAGCCUGAUCCAGCAAUGCCGCGUGAGGGAUGACGGCCUUCGGUUGUAACCUCUUUCAGCAGGGAGAAGCGAAGUGACGGUACCUGCAGAGAAGACACCGGCUAACUACGUAGCCAGCAGCCGCGGUAA
RNAcentral lists this ribosomal RNA (483 nucleotides) under uncultured bacterium. RNAcentral describes it as "bacterial SSU rRNA". It matches the Rfam family "Bacterial small subunit ribosomal RNA", at positions 29 to 523 of the family's 1533-position model. The record is from RNAcentral.